CCGAUCCAGAUCCCCUCCACCGCGGGCCACCCACCCACCGCGGACGGCGAUCUCUCAUCCACAGCCGCACCCACCGCCGACGCCGACGCCCCCAUCCUCUCCCCCCUCCUUCUCUCCCUGGCGGCGGCCACAUCGGGGGCUCCUGGAUCCGCGCCGCCGUCGAGCUGGGCCGCCAAGGUCAGCUCCUUCCCCACAACCACCGUCGCCGCAGGGAGGAGGUGAUUGACGGGGCAGCCACCAUCGAGCUCACCCCGUCUACUUCUUCUCGGGACGCCGCGCUCCUUCUCCGCAACCACCGCCGCCGCCGCUGCAGGGAGACGAGGAUUGACGGGGUCGCCACCAUGCAACCUCCCCCGCGUACCUCUUCUCGGGACUCCCCCUCCAUGGAGCUCCGACCCCACCGCCGCCUCCAUGGAUGGACCAUCUCAAGUUAUACAUGGAGAUCUAAGUGCCUUUCAGGAGGAAAUACAAUCAGUUCACCAUGUUGUCCGCACUCUGGAAACAAAGCUUGGACGCCUUGCAUAUACUCAAGAUCACACAACACGAGGAAUACAUGAGUUAUGUGAGUUCAG
Molecule: non-coding RNA, 572 nt
Organism: Aegilops tauschii subsp. strangulata
Lineage: Eukaryota; Viridiplantae; Streptophyta; Magnoliopsida; Poales; Poaceae
Source: RefSeq, a predicted model, not a curated record